Xyrauchen texanus (razorback sucker) is the source of this 591-nucleotide long non-coding RNA. RefSeq lists it as uncharacterized. The transcript has 5 exons. The record is from RefSeq and is a predicted model, not a curated record. NCBI's taxonomy places the organism in Eukaryota, Metazoa, Chordata, Actinopteri, Cypriniformes, Catostomidae.
GGGGCGGGGCAUCUUCAACGCAGUCUAUUUUCGAACAGAAAGCAGUCAAAUUAACAGAAUUGUUUCGCAACACUCAUCUAGAAGGACACUGUUCAAGGAAUCAUUCACUUGAUGUAAAGGUUUUACUGAGACAGUGCACAGCCCUAAUCUUUGGGAGGGCAGAGAACUGUACUGAACGCUGGAUGAUUACCCUAGAGAGUCGUGUUGUUUGUGAGGGCAUACAACCAAGAUUCCUGACUGCAAUAGCAACCAUGUUUGCAAUGUUCUACGUCUUCAAUCUUAAGUAUCCAGAGGAGGCAUGUGGCACCUUGGAAUUCAUUCAAAGACGAUUCGUUGGGAUAAACCCUGAAAAAGUUACGAAGACCUGCAGAGGCAAGGUGGUUUCAAAGAAGACUGGAAAACUUGUCAGCAAGAAGUCUGCCACUGUCAAUCCCAAAGUUUCUUCUCUCCUGAAGAACCUCAUCGAUUUCGAAUGGAACUUCGUCUAGAUCUGGAUUUCCUCUCAGACCAGAUGUGUUAAAAGCUGAUGUGGGAUGUUUUGCCAGUUUUUUGCCUCUUCCUACGUUUUUUCACCAAUUGGUUCUCUUGUCC